UGUAGUACACAUGUAACAUGGGUUUGAUUAGUCUGGCCUGAGUAGGUCCACAGGGAAGAAACUACAAGGAUUUAAAGUUAUUAAGGAGUUUACAUGACAUAUCAAGUGUUGUCUGUUCUGGAGUUUACAUGAGAUAUUGAGUGCUGUCUUUUCUGGUCUUUGAAUCUAAAGGAGUCGGCCAUGUUGCCAUGAUACAAGAGUCUAUGACCUGAAUGACCUUGACCUCCAUUUCGGGGUUACAUGUGAGGCUGCAGUCCUGGAUGGGGGUUGUUGGCCUGUUCAAGUAACCAUGGCAACAAUCAUGUCACAGUAACAUGGCCAUGUUGAGAAACGUUUUUGGAGGCUGUGUAUCUGACAGAAGCUCUGAGUCCAUGCGCCACCAAAAGAUCAAGUUUGGAGCUCCACUCUCCCACAACAUUAAAAAUGGGUACCUUCCAGUUCCUUUGGUGGAAAUACUUAUAUACAUCGCCCAUGAAGGCAUGAACACGGCCGACCUAUUCCGACGACCAGGGAAUCCGUCAGACACACGUCACAUUGUUAAGAGGAUGACUGAAGGCAAGCCUGUCAUCUACCAGAACUACAACAUGUACACACUGGCCUCUGUUGUCAAGAAGUUCCUGCUGCGUCUGCCUGAUGGAAUAUUUGGCCAGAAUGGCGAGGAAACCCUGUUGAGUGUUCUCAGUCUGGGCCACAAGAUGGAGCAGUAUGAGGCUGUGCAUGAGUACAUCACCUCCCUACAACAAGCACAUCAGCAGCUUGUGUCCCUGCUGUUCGGCAUCUGGUUCACUAUGAUCAACAACUGUGACAUCAAUUUCAUGACGACAGAGGCGUUGUCACGCAGUGUUGCGGGGAGCGUGUUCCAUUCUUGUGCCGCUGAUCCCGGGAAGGUGGAGAAGGCAAGCCGUAUCAUGCAGCUGCUCAUUGAGAACUUUGGUGUGGCCAGUAUGUUCGGACAGCAGAACAUUGAGUAUUUUGCCGAUACCACUCGCACAGGGAUUCAUAUACGGGAGAAAUUCCGCUAUGAAUUCCAAUACCUUUCAGAGGAAAUACUACCUCGUGAUCAGGCGGUACAUUGGUAUUCCCUGUUCCUGGUCCAGGAGGCUCAUCUACGAGCCUUCCACCCAGUAGAGCAUGCUAUAUCUGAAGAAGGUUUUUAUGAGAUGCAUGCUCAGAGAGAGGGUGUACAUGAACCCAGUCAUACACCAGAGCAUUCACCAGAGAUGGACCCAAAAUAUCUGCUGUGCCCACGGCGCGAUGAUGACGAGGAUGGCGACUCGACUUGCUCACGCCUUAUGGCCGCCUCUACUAUAUCAGCCCCUGAAGUGUCAUUAGCUCCCUCCCCUGGUAACAUUGGCAAGAGACCAAAAUCACUAGAAGACAAUUUAAAUGAAAGCAGUUCCACAGAGCCUCCACCUAAGGGAAGCCUUAGCAGAUUUAAUUCUGUCAAGCGCAAACAGUUGGAACGAUUACGUCAGAGAUCUGAUUGGUUCCUUGGACCUGCUAAUGGCCAGAAAUCGAGUAAUGGCCAAAAGUCUGGCCACUCAGGGACCUCAUUCCCACAAUACACCCGUGAACAUGAAAGACUUGUGGCAAAAAGUUCAGGGAAUUCCGUAACUAAGGCAUCUUCUGAAGGAGCUGCGCUUGAUGUCAUGUCGUCUGAUGUAGACAGUGUGUUUUCCGAAGAUAGUCGUAGUGAAUCGCCUGCAUCAGAGCCAAUACGGACUCCGCCCAUUAGGGUUACGCGUGACAUCAUCCACAGUGACACUAUAGUGGAUACACCCAUGAUGGACAUGAGUGCGAGUCGUGAGUCGCAGGACCUCAACAUGGACGAGGAUGAGGAGAUGGUGGAUAGCGAGGUGUGCUACUUUGUGGUAGAGCACAAGUAUGGACACACUGAGUCCUAGCGCUCAACUACAUUCAUAGUGUUCACAGUUGAUUCCUUCUAAUAUAUUAUUAGUUAUUAUUAUUGUAUCAUAGGGAAGGCUUUGACAGUUUUUUCCAGACUUAAGUGUAAGUUUUUUCCCUUUUUAAGAUUCUCGCCAUUUAAGACUGUAAACAUUUAUUUAAUGUACUCAAGAGAUUAUGCUGACCCGUGAGUAUAACAGUUUUUUAAGAGACAUAAUAUUAUAACUUUUAUUAUGAUGGGAUUUUGUUUUCUCUAUGUAAUACCUAGUGCGUUCAACAAUUUUAUCUGACAGACAUGUUUUUACUGUUUUACAUUUUAAAUGACAGAGUGGGAAGGUGUCCGGACCAUAGCGUAAUGAUAUCAUACACUAUAUUACACGAUCUAACAUUUUACCUUAUAUUUAUCGUGUUGCAAAUUCUUUUGCUUUUUACUUUGCUGUUUGCAUAAUGUAGAUAGUGUUGCUGUAGCUUAAAAUUCUUCAAAUUCCUUUCCUUCCGAAAGAUUACAACCUCAUAAAUUAUAUAAGUACUUGGUUGUGUUACUAGUUCUAACUAGAUGUUUUGGUUCAGAGGAGCAGUCAGUGUUGUUUGUGGGAGAAAAAGUCCUGUUUAAGGUUGAGGCAAUGAUGGACCAGAUAGGAGAAAUACUGAUAGAAGAUUGAACCGAUAAGCAUGGCCUGGGACCACAAAACAACAUCAAUUUUCUUUAUAUAAAAAUGUUUUAAUAUUUGAUAUUUAGCGUGAUUUAAAAAAAUCUUUAAUUUUUUUUACCGCACAUUCUCAUGUUUCAACACCUUAAACAGUUAGCUCCCCUGAAACAGAAUUCUCCUUUCCUGAAAACACUGACUGAAAGAUCUCAACAAGUGCAAUAUAUGCCUAAAAUCAUUUGAAAUGUGUUUUAGAAAGUCCCUUGUGUUAUGAAUAAACAUCCAUGUACAUUUGUUUUAAAAAGCUUUUUUUAGUAUACAUUUCUUGAUGUGUUCUAGAAAAAAAUAGACUGUUGUCUUCAAGUUCGGCAGCUUAUGAUUCUCAGCAUAAAAUCAGUUUAUCCAUUUCUUUAUUAAUAUUUUUUCUGUAAUAGGGAAAAUACAAAAUUUUUGUAGCUGAUUAUGAAAAUAAGUUUGAUUUUCACAAAGAAAUUGAAACAUGCCUGAGAAACUACAACAUCGACUGCAGACAUCAUUUAGUGAUAUAAUGGAUACCAAAAUCAAUUCAAGUGUUCUACUCCGUGGAGGUAUCUGGAGACCUAGUAAAGCUUAGUCAAUGUAGUUACAGUUCUAGGUUGUUUACGCCGGAAUCUGGAAACAUUGUAUUCAUGUGGGGUAAAUGCAAUGACAUUUGUACAGGUGUAGAUACUGUACACAAUCCUUACCUAUACUGUAGUGAAACACUUCUCCAGGUAUUUAGUUUGAAAACAAUUUUGUUCAAAAUCAUUUAACCCUUUCACCCCUCUGUAACUUAUAGACUCUACCAUGCAUCAAAAUGGAUGAGCCCAUUAUGGUCUAGAGUGGUGAAAGGGUUAAGAAACUGUUAACUCAACCAUAAUUUUCUGGAAAAUUUAGUCAUAGAUUUUAUUUGAAAAGGCUCAAAUCAAAUUGAAACUUUGAUAGUUUCUUAGUCAUAAAUUACAAGUCAUUCUUCAUUGAACAAAAUCACAUCUUGCCAUGAUCAGUUUAAUCAUGAAAAACAGUUGUUUUUGGAAACAUCCAAUGAAUUUUUAUUUUGUUUACUUUUAAUUCCAAUUAUAUUUUAAAUGUUCAAAACACUAAGUCACAUACCAUAUUCAACAUAACUAGUGCUCCAGUAUUUGAAAAAAAAGUUGUUCAAUCUGCUUAUUUCUCAAUAAAAUUUUGUUGGGACAUUCAACAAUAUUCACUCUGAAAAAAGUUUCAAAACACUUAUCUGCCUAGCAGUAAUUUAAUUUUCAAUAUUAAUUCAAUGUGAAAGACAACCCAUCAGACAACAUAUGAAUAAUACUGGUCAAGUGGGGGAGGGGAACUUAGUCAAAGCAGGGGCUCUAAUUACAUGUAAUAUGGUAUCAUUUUUUAAAUUUUUAUCUAAGCUAACACAUAGAUGCAAUAAAUAUGUAGAUGUAUUUUGCUAUUAUUUUUUGUUUUGUUAUAUGCAGCUUGAUCAAGUCUUGCUGUUAGUUUUGUUUAACCCUAUAAGUUUAUGUUGUAUUGUUUAUAGAUACUGCAAAUUAGGACUCUAUCAUUGUUUUUGCUGUCAUACUUUUUUUUAAUAAAUAAACAUUGUAGAAACAUACCUUAAUGUGACAAGUAUAAUAUCAUUUGCUUAGACCUAUGAUGACCAAAAUUCAAACGUUCAGUAUUGUUUAAGCACACUUUUCAAAACUUUCAUGGGGUAUACUGUAUAUUGGGUUGUUUAUGUGUAAUGCAAAGUCGUUUAGAAUUAAAAUUUCUGCAUUUACACUUUCACUGUUUUAUCCCCAUACUAUUACUGUUAGGUCAGCGUGUGGUAUUUUUGAUGUGUGAUUAAAAGUUUGCACAAUUGUUUUGCAAUUUUUCAUCAAGUUAAUAAAGUGAAAUUUGACACUUGCAAAAUUACUUGAUAUACAAUAUUUCCUAAUUUGCAGUACCUAAUCCAGAAAACUAGUCAGCGUGUAGCUUAUGUAGAUAACUCCACUCCAUGUCAUCCACCCUUAGCUGAUUGUUUGGGGACUUUAGAAGUUUUUAGUACUUAUGGAUACCUCCUGCAGCACCUGUAAGAAAAAAUACCUGGCUAAAAUGAACUUAUUUGAACAGCUUGUCAUGAGAGAUUUUAUAUAUGAAAAUCAAAAUGAAAUGACACAGACCCUGCAGUUAUUAUGAUUUUAUGUUACUGUUGAUGUAUAUUGUACUGGAUAUUAAGAUUUGCCUGUAAGCUUGUAGUCAAACGUUGAGAAUCAGAUAUCUGAUUUAUUUUGUCUUUUGAUCUUAGUUAAACAAAAUAGGAAAUCAUUCGCGUAGCUGCAUGUGAAGAUAAGGCCUUUUAUUUGAACAAAGUUUUAUCAAAAUCAAUUAGAUAUAUUCUGGUACAGUGAUCAGAUUUGUCAGAAGUGUAAAAUGUAACUCAAUCUUAGGAGGUAGAUUUUGUUGAAUAAGAGGCCAUGAUAUGUGAUAUCGUCUGUUUACUUGCUUGCUUUGGUUGCUGAGUAGUUGUACUCUGAGCAAAUAAUCGUAUAAUGUUGUAAUCUGUCUCGGUAUAAUUUACGAUGUGGCAGGGAAAUCAUGAUGUAUAGCAAGUCCCCUUAAUUAUUUUGUCUAAUUUUAUCUUUGAUGUAUUGUCACUCUUGUUCAAAUUUUUACUAUAUACUUAAAGAUUUCAUUACAAAUAUUCAUUUUAUCAAUACAAUUUAAAAAGGAAGCUUUCAAUGUGAAUGGAAGCAUAUGUUAAAAUGUAAAAGGAUACAUUUUUUCAUUAGGUUGAUAUAUGUUUCAUACAAUUGUCUGUUGUAAAUGAAUGUUUUAAGAGAAUAUAUUUGUUUUUUAUUCAGUAUUCAGUUGACACAGUGUCUCUUUGUAACCCACAUAUAUAAACAUACAUGUUCAGUUGAUUGUAGAGCGUACUACAGAUACCCUACUCUAUGUCCUAUACAGCUCUACUACAGCUUAUUACAGAACCUACACCCUUACACAUCAGGCUAGAACAGGCUACAUACAUGCACACCUUAAAUUUAUUUUAUAUAAAAUACUAAUUGUAUACUUUUCCAGUUUGAUAUUUUUUAGAAAAGCUACACCCAAACAGAAGAUUCUAGAAUGGGUACUGGUUGUUGGACUCUCCAACACUGGCACUCUUAUAGCCUAUUUCGGCAGCAUUCAAGCCUGUACAGUCUCUUGGUGUGGUGAGGUCACUUUCAUGUAAAUUUUGUGUUGCUUCACGCAGUUUUAGUAGUAACGCAAAACCUGAAUAUUGCUGUCACACUGCGUGGGUCAUCGCUUACAGUAAUAGUACCUAAUUAAUAUAUUUACUCUGUUGCUGUCACACUGCGGGGUCAUCGCUUACAGUUAUAGUACCUAAUUAAUAUAUUUACUCUGUUGAUGCUUAUGUAAUUAUCAGUUGUAUGGUUUUGUAAAUUAGUGCAUGUCUACAGACAAGACAUAGAUAAUAUAAACUUAAUAUUAAAUGGCAAUCGAUGCACAUGAGCAAGCAAAGCUGGGCAGUACAUGUGAAGAUCCUGACUGUGGCUAUCCCAGGGGAGGUAACUCUGUUGGUACAAUUGGUUUUUCUUCAUGUAGCUUCAGAAAGGAGGAAAUAGCUUUUUUGAUCUGAUGGAAUGGACAUUAAAACCAAUUGAACAGUUAUAAGCCACAUAGCAUGUGGGAAAAAGAAAUAUAUAUCCUCUUGAAAACAUGUCAUUUUAGUUUAACUGGUGGCAGUGUUUGAUGUACCUCGUUGGUUCUGUUAGAGCAAUGUACGACCACAGACUUUGCGUUGCUACAUGUGCAUCCCCAUGUGCAUUGACUGCACGUUGCACAGUCAUUCCAAUAUGUGUGUGAUCAUUGUUUGCUAAAUAUUUUAUUAACUUUUAUUAUUUUCUUAAACAAAUAUUUUGUACAUGACAAAUAUCCAGAAGCAGCUGCUGACAGAAAUAAACGUAUGUUUUGAUGAAGAUGCUGCCUAGAUAGGUUAAAUUCUGACAUGUGAUGUUUGGUGUACAAGUAAGGUCACAGAAAAAAGGUCAAAUUAAAAUGAUAUUGAAACCUUAAAAUCUCUCUGGAUAAUUAGUAGUCUGUCGGGGGGUUUUCAAUCUCUAUGGAGGUCAAAUUAAAAUGAUAUUGAAACCUUAAAAUCUCUAUGGAUAAUUAGUAGUCUGUCAGUGGGUUUUCAAUCUCUAUGCAUAAUUAGUAGUCUGUCGGUGGGUUUUCAAUCUCUCUGGAUAAUUAGUAGUCUUUCAGUGGGUUUUCAAUCUCUAUGGAUAAUUGGUAGUCUGUCGGUGGGUUUUCAAUCUCUCUGGAUAAUUAGUAGUCUGUUGGUGGGUUUUCAAUCUCUCUGGAUAAUUAGUAGUCUGUCGGUGUGUUUUAAUCUCUCUGGAUAAUUAGUAGUCUGUCGGUGGGUUUUCAAUCUCUCUGGAUAAUUAGUAGUCUGUUGGUGGGUUUUCAAUCUCUAUGGAUAAUUAGUAGUCUGUCGGUGGGUUUUCAAUCUCUAUGGAUAAUUAGUAGUCCGUCGGUGUGUUUUGUAAAUGGACUGAAUUUUCACAAGAUGUUUCUGCAAUGUCCAUUUAUCUUUUCGUAAAAUUUACAAAGCAAUAUUAAAAACAUAGGCAACUGUUCAAGUGUUGAUAUUACACGAAUAUUCUCUUUCCAGUUCACCUAUACCUGAUCAUGUGACUAAUGGAGAAAAUGACCUUCACAUUGUACGUGAGCUGUGAGCAUGUUUCAUUACAAACACUAUGUGAGAUCUCAAGGUUACUCUGACAGUUGUACAUAUUUGCUAUCAGCUUGUGUUAUUUUAAUUCCAUUCUCCAAUAAUUUUGUUGUGAUUUGAUGUAGUGGGACAGAGCUGAGAGAGAGAGUCAUCUGUCUUAUGUUUCCAGAAUCAAAGUUGGCUGUUUAGGUUUAGACGUUUAAAGCAAAAUUACAUAUAAACUCAUUAUCAUGGUAUUCAAAAGAAAUGCAAGAUGGUAUGAUCUCAAUAUAUAUGUAGCAGUUUUAUAAGUGAUUCAGUGAUACUUCACUCGGUACGUACAGGUUCAGGAGAGGUUAUUGGUAACGAGACCGGACAGCAGCAAGGACCAUUGUGUAGACAAUGGAGCAGUCAUGUGACCCUCUUCAAACAUGGGGCCACUUACAACAUAUACUAAAUGGAUUAAUGCCACUAAGAUCAUUGAAAAAUGAAAUUACAGUGAAUAACAAGGUUAUAGAGGUUAGCUGUUUUGUUACCUGAUGAUGCUGUAUAAGUCGGUGUUAACUACCCAUUACGCUACAUCAAGGUCAUCUCGACCUCCAUGGUCACUAAGUACACUUCUAACUCUUGGUGUGCUCAGGUUGUGAACAGUAUAGUGUAAACACUGAACAACAUACCGUAAAUCACCUUCAUCUUGCUGUUGUGCUUAAACUGGUGAGAAUUGGAACUUGCAGAAGGAACUAACAAAUAUGGGUCUCUUUAUGUCCCAAGAAAAAUCAUUUUGUUUACAGUCCUCUUAGAUAAACUUGACUACUACACCUUAAACAUUUUCAUCCUUCACGGUGUACCAUUAAUUACACUGGUACAAAUGUGAACACACAUGCUUACCCUGGUACACAUGUGCUUACACUGGAACAAAUGUGUACACAUAUGCUUACCCUGGUACACUUGUGCUUACCCUGGUACAAAUGUGUAUACACAUGCUUACCCUGGUACACAUGUGCUUACCCAGGUACAAAUGUGUACACACAUGCUUACCCUGGUACAAAUGUGUACACACAUGCUUACCCUGGGACAAAUGUGAACACACAUGCUUACCCUGGUUCACAUGUGCUUACACUGGUACAAAUGUGUAUACACAUGCUUACCCUGGUACACAUGUGCUUACCCUGGGACAAAUGUGAACACACAUGCUUACCCUGGUACUCUCAUGUGCAUACAUAAAAAGUUAACAUGGAACAUAUGUAUACACACAUGCUUACCCUGGUACACAUGUGCUUACCCUGGUACACAUGUGUUUUCCCAGGUACAAUUUUGUAUACAUGUGCUUAUUCACCUUUCACUUCAGAAGUUGAUAAUGGAAUAACUACAUCAUUUACAUUCCUCUGAUUCACUUGUUAUAAAGAUGUCUGUAACAUUCAGUAAAUGGGGAGUAAAGUCACAUAUCAUCAGUCAGGAUGGUAACCUACAAUGAACCAUAGGAGUUCAAUUUCUCACAUCAAUUCAAAUACCGCUUACUUGUAAAUGUUUUGAAAGCCAUUAUGAUUUUUUCCCUUGAAGGACGAGUUUCGAAUCCACAUCUGUUGAUUAUAUAUAUGUGGACAUAUUUUGUUGCUCCUACAAGGCUAGAAAAUAAUGGCAUUCAAACACUUUUUAAACCUUUUGGAUCCUAAAAUUGUAAUAAAUUGACACGGUAGUAGCAAAAUCUUGAAUGUAGUUUUUCCCCCCAAGGUACAUUAUCAAUAUACCCAGGUAAAAAAAUCUUCGAAUUUAAAAGUGUAACAUAUCACUUCAAUAGAUUAUUUCUUUCUUGCUAGAAAAUUGACCCUGAAGACCAUUAUUUAUCUUGGUCAGGGUUUUGAAUAAGUCUUGCAAAGCUGAAGUGCCUAUGAAGUGUUUCCUAUGUGACUCUCUGCUACCAUUAUUGUAACUAUGUGAGAAUAUAACUAACACAGGUCACCCAGCAUGUCAACUGUUAAUACAUGGUAGGUUGUGUUAGGUUGACUGUUACACACUGUAUGUUGUGAGAAGUUGACUGUUUCACACUGUAUGUUGUGUGAAGUUGACUGUAACACAUUGUGUGUUGUGUGAAGUUGACUGUUACACACUGUAUGUUGUGUGGAGUUGACUGUUACACACUAUGUGUUGUGUGAAG
Molecule: unclassified non-coding RNA, 9406 nt
Filed under: Mizuhopecten yessoensis (Yesso scallop)
Lineage: Eukaryota; Metazoa; Mollusca; Bivalvia; Pectinida; Pectinidae
Description: uncharacterized LOC110464123, transcript variant X4
Source: RNAcentral